CCCUGGGUAGUGCAAACAGUUAAUAUGCUUGGCUGCUAACCAAAAGGUUGGAGGUUUGAUUCCUUCCAGAGGUU
RNAcentral lists this transfer RNA (74 nucleotides) under Loxodonta africana (African savanna elephant). It matches the Rfam family "tRNA". Rfam says of the family: Transfer RNA (tRNA) molecules are approximately 80 nucleotides in length. Their secondary structure includes four short double-helical elements and three loops (D, anti-codon, and T loops). Further hydrogen bonds mediate the characteristic L-shaped molecular structure. tRNAs have two regions of fundamental functional importance: the anti-codon, which is responsible for specific mRNA codon recognition, and the 3' end, to which the tRNAs corresponding amino acid is attached (by aminoacyl-tRNA synthetases). tRNAs cope with the degeneracy of the genetic code in two manners: having more than one tRNA (with a specific anti-codon) for a particular amino acid; and 'wobble' base-pairing, i.e. permitting non-standard base-pairing at the 3rd anti-codon position. Lineage: Eukaryota; Metazoa; Chordata; Mammalia; Proboscidea; Elephantidae. The record is from Rfam by way of RNAcentral.